Molecule: long non-coding RNA, 637 nt
Filed under: Homo sapiens (human)
Lineage: Eukaryota; Metazoa; Chordata; Mammalia; Primates; Hominidae
Description: HSALNT0029211
Source: RNAcentral
CCCUCCAACACCUGGGAACUGCUUGCCACUUCCUUGGGGCCUCUGAUUUUAGGUUCUAUUAUAUCUUGUUUAAAUUCCUGAGGUAUUGUGAGUCAGCUAAAAUGUUAUAAACCAAAUCCUAUUUUCCCAUUUACAUUUUCACCUUAAGAUAUUUCGUCUUCAUUCCAACCCUCUCUCUCAAAUUGGUAAGCCUUAAACACUUCAGCGGUCUGGGACAGUUUCUAUUUAAAGAAGCUCUUUGCCAUCUAUGUAUAGAGAGCGUUGAAUAGCCAUUGUUAUGUUUCAGUCUGUCUCUCUCACAUAUUUACAUUUUAAAUAUGGGCUUUAAAAAAUGGGGUGCAGUUUUGUUUCAUUCUUCUGCCUUUCUAAAUCCUCUCCAAAAUUGGGUGGCCCUUCUUAGGUUGAAAGCUGUUUUCUCUUGUUCCUUUUUUUCUCAUCUGGAUUGCAGAUACAUUUCACUAGCACCAUUUCUCCUUACUUGGGCCUUACGAGGGCCUUAGCCAAAUUCCAGCCCGUGCCUCCCUCUACCAGUGGUGGGCACACCAUCUGCGACAUUCUCCUCCAUCUUCCUUUUGUGAGAUAAGAAGGUAGAAUUCCAUAUGACAUAAGAAUUCCACGGCUUUCACCUCCUAAAUGC